AUACGAAGGGUGCAAGCGUUAAUCGGAAUUACUGGGCGUAAAGCGCGCGUAGGUGGUUUUGUAAGUUGGAGGUGAAAGCCCCGGGCUCAACCUGGGAAUUGCCUCCAAAACUGCAUGACUAGAGUACGGUAGAGGGUAGUGGAAUUUCCUGUGUAGCGGUGAAAUGCGUAGAUAUAGGAAGGAACACCAGUGGCGAAGGCGACUACCUGGACUGAUACUGACACUGAGGUGCGAAAGCGGGGGGAGCAAACAGGAUUAGAUCCCCUGGUAGUCCACGCCGUAAACGAUGUCAACUAGCCGUUGGGAUCCUUGAGAUCUUAGUGGCGCAGCUAACGCAUUAAGUUGACCGCCUGGGGAGUACGGCCGCAAGGUUAAAACUCAAAUGAAUUGACGGGGG
RNAcentral lists this ribosomal RNA (397 nucleotides) under uncultured bacterium. RNAcentral's name for it is "partial 16S ribosomal RNA". It matches the Rfam family "Bacterial small subunit ribosomal RNA", at positions 523 to 919 of the family's 1533-position model. The record is from RNAcentral.